GCCAGCAGCCGCGGUAACACGGAGGGUGCAAGCGUUGUUCGGAAUUACUGGGCGUAAAGGGCGCGCAGGCGGUCCGGUCAGUCGGAAGUGAAAUCCGUCGGCUCAACCGGCGAAUUGCUUUCGAUACUACCAGACUUGAGUACGGGAGAGGAGAGCGGAAUUCCCAGUGUAGAGGUGAAAUUCGUAGAUAUUGGGAAGAACACCGGUGGCGAAGGCGGCUCUCUGGACCGAUACUGACGCUGAGGCGCGAAAGCGUGGGGAGCAAACAGGAUUAGAUACCCUGGUAGUCCACGCUGUAAACUUUGAGUACUAGGUGUAGGGGGUACCGACCCCCCCUGUGCCGACGCAAACGCAUUAAGUACUCCGCCUGGGGACUACGGCCCGCAGGCUAAAACUCAAAGGAAUUGACGGGGGCC
RNAcentral lists this ribosomal RNA (416 nucleotides) under uncultured bacterium. Its description in RNAcentral is "bacterial SSU rRNA". It matches the Rfam family "Bacterial small subunit ribosomal RNA", at positions 507 to 921 of the family's 1533-position model. The record is from RNAcentral.